UACGUAGGGGGCAAGCGUUAUCCGGAUUCACUGGGUGUAAAGGGAGCGUAGACGGCAAGGCAAGUCUGAAGUGAAAGCCCGGUGCUUAACGCCGGGACUGCUUUGGAAACUGUUUGGCUGGAGUGCCGGAGAGGUAAGCGGAAUUCCUAGUGUAGCGGUGAAAUGCGUAGAUAUUAGGAAGAACACCAGUGGCGAAGGCGGCUUACUGGACGGUAACUGACGUUGAGGCUCGAAAGCGUGGGGAGCAAACAGG
Molecule: ribosomal RNA, 253 nt
Filed under: Fusicatenibacter saccharivorans
Lineage: Bacteria; Bacillati; Bacillota; Clostridia; Lachnospirales; Lachnospiraceae
Description: partial 16S ribosomal RNA
Rfam family: Bacterial small subunit ribosomal RNA
Source: RNAcentral